GGAAAUAGGAGAAGAGCACUGUACCACUGUGACAGAGUUCAUUGUUCUUGGAUUAUCAGAUCCCCUGAGCUGAGAGUCUUUCUCUCCCUUCUGUUCCUUCUCACAUAUGGAGUCACUACGUUUGGGCCAACCUUGACAUAAUUGCACUGAUUCAGGAAUGAACUUGUGGUGUUCACUGUGGUCACUUUCAAUGAGAUCAUCACCAUCUUGAUCAUCCACACCUCCUGCUUGUUAUUCUCAUCACCAUCCUAAGGAUGCACUCUGCAGACGGAAGCUGCCUAUCUUUAUUAAACCAUGUCUUAUCCUCUUUCUUGGAGAGUUCAAGUGUAUCAGGAAGCUUUGGUUCGAAUCCUGGGCGCAGGACAUGGCACUGCUCAUCAAGCCACGCUGAGGCGGCGUCCCACAUGCAACAACUAGACGGACCCGCAACUAAGAAUGUACAACUAUAUACUGGAGGGCUUUGGGGAGAAAAAGGAAAAAAAU
RNAcentral lists this long non-coding RNA (483 nucleotides) under Equus asinus (donkey). RNAcentral describes it as "lncRNA (ENSEASG00005035179.1)". Lineage: Eukaryota; Metazoa; Chordata; Mammalia; Perissodactyla; Equidae. The record is from RNAcentral.